GGCCUCGUAGCUCAUCUGGUAGAGCGUGCACGUACAAAGCGCAUGCGGCGUCCAUACGUUGGUUCGACUCCCACCGAGGCUA
Molecule: transfer RNA, 82 nt
Filed under: Echinostoma caproni
Lineage: Eukaryota; Metazoa; Platyhelminthes; Trematoda; Plagiorchiida; Echinostomatidae
Rfam family: tRNA
About the family: Transfer RNA (tRNA) molecules are approximately 80 nucleotides in length. Their secondary structure includes four short double-helical elements and three loops (D, anti-codon, and T loops).
Source: Rfam by way of RNAcentral